ACCRUGAGGGAAAGAUGAAAAGAACUUUGGAAAGAGAGUUAAACAGUACGUGAAAUUGCUGAAAGGGAAACGCUUGAAGUCAGUCGCGUUGGCCGGGGAUCAGCCUUGCAAUCUUGUUGGGUGCAUUUCCUGGUUGACGGGUCAGCAUCAAUUUUGACCGUCGGAGAAGGGUUGAGGGAAUGUGGCAUCCUUCGGGGUGUGUUAUAGCCUUUGAUCGUAUGCGACGGUUGGGAUUGAGGAACUCAGCAUGACCCCUCGUGGGUUUGGGGCUUCGGCUCACAUCCAGCUAGGAUGCKGCAUAAUGGCUUUAAGCGA
Molecule: ribosomal RNA, 315 nt
Filed under: Serpula lacrymans
Lineage: Eukaryota; Fungi; Basidiomycota; Agaricomycetes; Boletales; Serpulaceae
Description: eukaryotic LSU rRNA
Rfam family: Eukaryotic large subunit ribosomal RNA
Source: RNAcentral